This 271-nucleotide long non-coding RNA is filed under the name Pan troglodytes (chimpanzee). RNAcentral's name for it is "lincRNA". Lineage: Eukaryota; Metazoa; Chordata; Mammalia; Primates; Hominidae. The record is from RNAcentral.
GCCGGCCAGCAUCCCGCUCCCUUUGACCCGCAGUCUGUGCGGGAAGCAGGAGGUGGCCUUAGAAAGGCGGAGACCCAAGGAGCAGAGUGAGUCGGCCUCCAGCUCCACCUGAAAGCGCCAUCUUGUCGCCACUUCCCUCAGGAGCAGAUCAAAAGGACCUAAUGAAAUGUUUGUGGAACCUGUGUAAAACAUGCUGCACAAAGAUGUAAAUAAAUAAACCCAUGAACUCCUAGUACCCUGACCGCAGCAUAUGUAAGAUCAAUAAAUAGCU